UCAUAUCAUAUCAUAUUACAGUAUAUCAUAACCGAAAAAAAAUUAAUGAAAAAUAAAAAAAGAAUCAGCCCACCGCCACGGCAGGCAGGCAGGCCACCAACAAAUAAAAAACCCACUCCUCCCCCUUGGAGUUCCUCCUCUUCACCCCUUGCACUCCCAGCAGCCCAGAGAGUGGAAAAUGCUACUACUGAUACCUUGCGAAAAGAUGGAGAGAACAAGCACGGCAACAAACACCGCUCUGCUAUGCAGUAUGCAGCUGUACCAUUUUGCAGUAGGGAGUGGGGAGUACUAUUUGGUUGCUUUCUUACUGGCUUACUGCAGCUGGCUCAGCACACAUCAUGAACCGUAACAUCCAUCAUCAAUCUAUGUGCAUUUUUCAUUCUGACUUGAUUGUUUCCUCUCCUUCUCUUCUUUACAGUUUUCUUUUUUGGUUGUAGAUCUUUAAGUCGCUUUCGUUUCCCUGAUUCUCAUGCCGAAAGCGACCUAUCAUAUCCUCCUCCUCCUCCUCCUCCUCUCUGAUUUAAUAUUGCGGUCUUCCGUAUUUCAUGCGACCGCCCUUCUUAUAGGUAUAUGCUGAUGCCUGUAUGUUUUGAGUUUCCGGGUCUCCUUUUCUGCUUCCUUCCUCUACACAUCUUUUGAACUGACCAUCUUUUUAUCCCUUCCGUUGAGGGUUUUGCCGGUUCUUUUCUAUUCAAGCCAGCUCUCAUCCACAGAGGCAUAUAUAUGCCCCUAAUCUGGUGUUCAAAAGUUAGGUAAAUUUAGGCAUCACAAAAAGCUUAGGGUUUCCAUCCAAAAUUCCUCGCCACAAGUAUUCCGAGUAUCAGUUUUGGUAGUAUAUUUACUUUACUACUGCUAGUUUAUGAGUCUAUUGUUUUAGAGAGCGUUCAUUUGUAUCACUUUAUCGUUUGAAAAACUUGGGCUGAGUCCUACCGUCUCUCCUGUUCUCGUCUACAUUAGCCUCUUCUUCUUUUGUUCUAGUAAUGGCCAGCUAUUGAUUUUCUGGUUCCUUUGUGGCUUUGAUGAUUUACGGUAUGUGGAAAAUAACGGCUCUCGACUUCUUUCUUCCUUUUAACUCUUAUUUCAAUCUCAUUACUCAGGUUAGGGUUGCAUAAUUGUUGACUCUGCCCGGUAAUAAGAAUGUUUACUUAGAUGAAUGUUAAGUUUGUUUGCAAUAAGGGAUUAAAAGGGAAAAAAAAAAAGUUUUGACUCCAUGUUUCUUUGGUCUCCACAAGCAUUGACCCCAUGGCUGUAGUACUACGUAGUUCUGUUUCCUUCUUGCUUCUAGAUUUUCUAGAUUUCAGGCAAAUCGCUUUAUGAUUGAUGAUGCUUCCUAGCACUCCUUGCUAGUAAUUAGGUUCCAAUUUCACCAUGUCUUAAGAAUAAAGGCCGUUUUAGAUUUAUGUUCAUCAGCUGCUCAAAGUGCCAGCCUUUUGAGCUUUGUUCUGGGAUGAGUAAUGUUAGUAUCACUUCCCGAUGAUUUUUGUAUUUGGGGUUCACUUUUCUCCAUUAUGCCAAUUAUUGUGAGCUAUCCUUUGUAUUGUAGUUUGGCCAUUGUGUAAUUGGAUUGUGCAUGAAGAACAAGAUGUAAAUUUGAAAUUCCUGCGGCUGCUUUUUGAACUUAUUGCAUUUCAUGUGUUCCUUGAAGCCUUGUAAAGAAACAAAAUAAGAUCAGGUUAUUUGCAUUUCAGCACAACUACUUCAAGCCCGAAGAAGCCUGUUGCUUUAUAAUUGAUCUUCUCCUUUUAUGUUAAAUCUGUUUCGCACCUGUGUAGCUGUGUGGUUUAUGCCGGUUGCUGGUGAUGACAUUAACAGCGUUAAUCGAUCCCUUGGACUUUACGUUGAUGUCUGGAUAGAAGUUAAAAGUUGUCCAUCUGUUCAAUGUGAAUAAUGGAUGAAAGGUUCCCGUUAGGUUUCUUGGUUAAAUGGAUGCAGACUUAACAAAAUUUUAAUAUGGUUUAAUUAUCAUUGAGAAGUGAAGGAGGAUCAAAUUGGUCAUAUAAUGACUUGCUGAUCAUUUUCAAUCAUUGGGGAAUUUGAUACAUAUUGAGCAGCUGAAUGAUGCGAUUAAUAGUGUCAUUAGGAAAUUGUGUGAGAGAGCUUCCUUCAGCCCACUCAUGGAUGAGAUCAGGGGUUGAAUUAGCUGCCGACUCAUUCACUUAAUCACUCAGUAGAAAGAUAAGAUUUGUGCUACUGUGGUUGAGUGAAUGAUGCGGGAGAUAAUUUUCUACCGGCUCCGUCUGUGCUUGGACUGAAGGGAGCUCCCUCUUGGUGUUGCCUUUACUUCUCUCUGAUCCAAAUGUUUCCUACUGUGUACUUGUUUUGAAAUGUCAAGCUUAUUUUUCUCCCCACCCUGAUUAGAACAUCUUACUGUUCAUUAACAUGGCUUGUCUCAUGAGCUUCUGAGGGCUUAUUACUACUUUUUUCCAUUUCCCAUUUAUUGGAGAACUGCUUUCACGCAGGACUAUCUAUUUUUUUUUUUUUUAAUAAAUUCGUCCUUGGUCAGAUCCUUAAGUUCUGGUCAAACUGGUAUGCUUUCUUCUGACAUGUAAUUCUGCUUGACGUAUGGGCUAACAAAAUUACAGAUGUUACUAGUCAUUUAUUGCAAUCCACCACCGCACCUUUCAUCUUUAACCAUUCUCCUUUUGCACUCCAGAUGUUAGGUUUUGAGUUGACCGCGGUCUUAGCAUGAUUGUAGAGCACUGCAAGUUAUAUCCCCGCAGUGAUUGUGGUGUGUGUUGUACCGGCUGGCUUUAACAGGCAUACUCCCUCAGAAACAUGUUACCGAGGGGCCUGCCAUGCAACCUGUGAAUUGUCAUGUCCUUUCCUGCAAUGUGUCAGCUAAUUUAAGUGGGUAUGUUCCGGUAAUGGAGUACUUUGCCGGGUAGAGAAACCACCACUAGGGAGGGCCAUUUGCUCUCUUUGUCCCUAAAUCAUUUUGGACCCUUCAAGGGCAUGGGCAUGGGCAUGGAUGGGUGAUAGCAGUCGAGCUAUCCUAAUAGAUGAGACUGCACCAGAUGCUGCUCUUCGUUAAAUUUUUAAUCCCAUUUCCAUUAGUUCUCUCUAAAAUUGUCAGGUUCCUUUGGCUAGCUGAUGACUUGGGAGGAUUCUAACAUCAUCCAAGUUUUGCAGGGAAAUGUUGCAUACUGGAGUUCAAUAUAUAGCUUUCUCUCCAGUCCAGUCCAGUCCAGUCAUCGAGGAGGCUGUUUCUUAAAGUUGCUAGCAAAACCCCCUCCUCCUUGUCAUCAUCUGGAAAGAAAUAGAAAGGAAAAGACUUCCACUUGCAGGUUUUUGUUCCUCCUCUACUGGUUAAAACUCUAUGGAUAAAGGAGAAGCAUGAUCGAUCCCCCUGGAUGCCUUGUAUCAUCAUGAUUCUCUCUCUUUGCAUGGCUCAUCUCACUGCAUAAGAAACUUUUGUUAAUAAUAAUAAUAAUAUGGUGAACAGUGCCUUAAUAAAGCUGCUGCAUUUCAUUUCUUUCUUAAAAAAAGAACCUCUUGAUUUGUGGAAGAUGAUGAUCCUUAGUUAGUUGUAUAUCAGAUAAGUUGUGUACUUUUGUAGCAAGUUGGCGAUGAAAGUAGUAUAGUAUAUGAUGUACAAGUACCAUAGGGCCUGGAGCUAAACUCACUUCAACUUUGCUUUAACUUGUUGGGAAA
This is a non-coding RNA of Coffea arabica (coffee), 3651 nucleotides long. NCBI's taxonomy places the organism in Eukaryota, Viridiplantae, Streptophyta, Magnoliopsida, Gentianales, Rubiaceae. The record is from RefSeq and is a predicted model, not a curated record.